UGACUAUGUACUGCUGUCUAAACUGCCAUGUUUCAGGGAUCUUAUUGCAGAGGAGUUCCACCGUGAAGUACUUGUACAUUUCAGAGAGUGAUGCCAUCUGGUUUCUUUGUCUUGAUGAUAUUCUUCAUGGGAGUGGACCACGUCAUGAUUAGAGUCAAGGACACUAGACUGGAUUACGAGGUAUUGCCUCACGUCUCCACGAAUCCAAAUGAGAUUGUCAAUCACCUGACACUGAAGAAGGAAGUGUGUGAAAAGCUACAAUUCCCAGAUACAUCUAGUGAGGACAUAAGCUAG
Molecule: long non-coding RNA, 294 nt
Organism: Ostrea edulis (European flat oyster)
Lineage: Eukaryota; Metazoa; Mollusca; Bivalvia; Ostreida; Ostreidae
Exons: 3
Source: RefSeq, a predicted model, not a curated record